Pyrenochaeta sp. DS3sAY3a is the source of this 91-nucleotide transfer RNA. It matches the Rfam family "tRNA". Rfam says of the family: Transfer RNA (tRNA) molecules are approximately 80 nucleotides in length. Their secondary structure includes four short double-helical elements and three loops (D, anti-codon, and T loops). Further hydrogen bonds mediate the characteristic L-shaped molecular structure. tRNAs have two regions of fundamental functional importance: the anti-codon, which is responsible for specific mRNA codon recognition, and the 3' end, to which the tRNAs corresponding amino acid is attached (by aminoacyl-tRNA synthetases). tRNAs cope with the degeneracy of the genetic code in two manners: having more than one tRNA (with a specific anti-codon) for a particular amino acid; and 'wobble' base-pairing, i.e. permitting non-standard base-pairing at the 3rd anti-codon position. NCBI's taxonomy places the organism in Eukaryota, Fungi, Ascomycota, Dothideomycetes, Pleosporales, Cucurbitariaceae. The record is from Rfam.
GCCCUCUUGGCUUAGUGGUAAAGCGCAUCACUAGUAAUUCAACUAAAGAAAGAACAUGAUGAGAUCGCUAGUUCGAUUCUGGCAGAGGGCA